RNAcentral lists this ribosomal RNA (451 nucleotides) under Eukaryota sp. RNAcentral describes it as "SSU rRNA". It matches the Rfam family "Eukaryotic small subunit ribosomal RNA", at positions 1324 to 1700 of the family's 1831-position model. The record is from RNAcentral.
AUCGUUAACGAACGAGACCUUAACCUGCUAACUAGUGGCUACCAUGUUUGGGGCCAAGCAAAGGGCCGGUUUUCUUUCCUUCGCUCUCUUUUGCGAGGGAGGGGAGGAGAGAGGGCGGGUCUUUGGUUCCAAAAGACUUGGUAUCGUUUGUCACUUCUUAGAGGGACUAUUGACGUCUAGUCAAUGGAAGUUUGAGGCAAUAACAGGUCUGUGAUGCCCUUAGGUGUUCUGGGCCGCACGCGCGCUACACUGAUGAAGUCAACAAGUUAAUUUUGAUCCUUGGCCGGAAGGUCUGGGUAAUCUUUUGAAACUUCAUCGUGCUGGGGAUAGUUCAUUGCAAUUAUUGAACUUCAACGAGGAAUUCCUAGUAGGCACAAGUCAUCAGCUUGUGUUGAUUACGCCCCUGCCCUUUGUACACACCGCCCGUCGCUAAUACCGAUUGAAUGGCUAC